This 69-nucleotide transfer RNA is filed under the name Urocitellus parryii (Arctic ground squirrel). Its description in RNAcentral is "Spermophilus parryii (Arctic ground squirrel) tRNA". It matches the Rfam family "tRNA". Rfam says of the family: Transfer RNA (tRNA) molecules are approximately 80 nucleotides in length. Their secondary structure includes four short double-helical elements and three loops (D, anti-codon, and T loops). RNAcentral also lists the same sequence under 1 other name. Lineage: Eukaryota; Metazoa; Chordata; Mammalia; Rodentia; Sciuridae. The record is from Rfam by way of RNAcentral.
GGGGUUGUGGCUCAGUGAUAAAGUGCUUGCCUUGCAUGCAUGAGUCACUGGGUUCAAUCCUCAGCACCA